RNAcentral lists this ribosomal RNA (691 nucleotides) under uncultured bacterium. Its description in RNAcentral is "bacterial SSU rRNA". It matches the Rfam family "Bacterial small subunit ribosomal RNA", at positions 62 to 746 of the family's 1533-position model. The record is from RNAcentral.
UCGAACGAGAGACCUUCGGGUCUCUAGUGGCGAACGGGUGAGUAACACGUAGGGAACCUGCCCGCGCACCGGGAAUACGCUCUGGAAACGGAGAACAAAUCCCGAUGUACAGGAAGGAGGCAUCUUCUUUCUGUGAAACAUCCUUUAGGGGAUGGGGCGCGGAUGGACCUGCGGUGCAUUAGUUGGUUGGCGGGGUAAAGGCCCACCAAGACGAUGAUGCAUAGCCGGCCUGAGAGGGCGGACGGCCACAUUGGGACUGAGACACGGCCCAGACUCCUGCGGGAGGCAGCAGUAGGGAAUUUUCGUCAAUGGGCGCAAGCCUGAACGAGCGAUGCCGCGUGAGUGAAGAAGGCCCUCGGGUCGUAAAGCUCUGUUGCGGGGGAAAAAAGGCAGCAUCAGGAAAUGGGUGCUGACUGAUGGUGCCCCGCCAGAAAGUCACGGCUAACUACGUGCCAGCAGCCGCGGUAAUACGUAGGUGGCGAGCGUUAUCCGGAAUGAUUGGGCGUAAAGGGUGCGCAGGCGGUCCUGCAAGUCUGGAGUGAAACGCAUGAGCUCAACUCAUGCAUGGCUUUGGAAACUGGAGGACUGGAGAGCAGGAGAGGGCGGUGGAACUCCAUGUGUAGCGGUAAAAUGCGUAGAUAUAUGGAAGAACACCAGUGGCGAAGGCGGCCGCCUGGCCUGUUGCUGACGC